UUCAAAUAUUCCGGUCUUUUCUAUUUCCAAAUCCCAAUAUUUUAAAUAUUUCUAAGUUUUAUUUGAUUUUAGUAAAAGAAAUGGACCAGAAUUUGUUGAAUUUUUGGAAAAACUACGAGCACAUAAUCGAUUGGGGUUAUCGAAUUUCAGGGGCUAGAGGAACGGAUAGCAGUGGAUCAUCGGCACCAAUCAAUACUGAAACUAUAGAAAUUAAUACUUGUAGAACUUUUAACACCAAUGAAAAUGAAUACGAUGCUUGUGAAUAUUCUUCCGAUAGCAGUGUUGAUAUUGAUUUAGAAUAUUUAAAGUUUUCUAAAAAAACAUUGUAACAUCAAGAAAAAGUAGAAUUAGAAAAGAGAAAAGUUGACAAAGAGUACGGAUUGUGCAAUUCACCAAGUUUUGAAAAUGAAUGUACCAGUACAAUCAAGGUAAAUGAGAUUAAUCCAAUAGAAUUCUAUGGCUCGAAGAUAAAUGAGAUUGAAUGUCUUGAAAAUA
This 495-nucleotide long non-coding RNA is filed under the name Rhopalosiphum maidis (corn leaf aphid). RNAcentral's name for it is "uncharacterized LOC113554564, transcript variant X2". Lineage: Eukaryota; Metazoa; Arthropoda; Insecta; Hemiptera; Aphididae. The record is from RNAcentral.